RNAcentral lists this ribosomal RNA (253 nucleotides) under uncultured bacterium. RNAcentral's name for it is "partial 16S ribosomal RNA". It matches the Rfam family "Bacterial small subunit ribosomal RNA", at positions 524 to 776 of the family's 1533-position model. The record is from RNAcentral.
GACGAACCGUGCGAACGUUGUUCGGAAUCACUGGGCUUAAAGGGCGCGUAGGCGGACUGCCAAGUCCGGGGUGAAAUCUUUCGGCUCAACCGGAAAAUAGCCUCGGAGACUGGCGGUCUAGAGGGGGGUAGGGGCAGCUGGAACUUCCGGUGGAGCGGUGAAAUGCGUUGAUAUCGGAAGGAACGCCGGUGGCGAAAGCGAGCUGCUGGACCUUUUCUGACGCUGAGGCGCGAAAGCCAGGGGAGCAAACGGG